ACACAUGCAAGUCGAGGGGCAUCAGUUUGGUUUGCUUGCAAACCAAAGCUGGCGACCGGCGCACGGGUGAGUAACACGUAUCCAACCUGCCUCAUACUCGGGGAUAGCCUUUCGAAAGAAAGAUUAAUAUCCGAUAGCAUAUAUUUCCCGCAUGGGUUUUAUAUUAAAGAAAUUCGGUAUGAGAUGGGGAUGCGUUCCAUUAGUUUGUUGGCGGGGUAACGGCCCACCAAGACUACGAUGGAUAGGGGUUCUGAGAGGAAGGUCCCCCACAUUGGAACUGAGACACGGUCCAAACUCCUACGGGAGGCAGCAGUGAGGAAUAUUGGUCAAUGGACGCGAGUCUGAACCAGCCAAGUAGCGUGAAGGAUGACUGCCCUAUGGGUUGUAAACUUCUUUUAUAUGGGAAUAAAGUGGUCCACGUGUGGAUUUUUGUAUGUACCAUAUGAAUAAGGAUCGGCUAACUCCGUGCCAGCAGCCGCGGUAAUACGGAGGAUCCGAGCGUUAUCCGGAUUUAUUGGGUUUAAAGGGAGCGUAGGCGGAUUGUUAAGUCAGUUGUGAAAGUUUGCGGCUCAACCGUAAAAUUGCAGUUGAUACUGGCAGUCUUGAGUGCAGUAGAGGUGGGCGGAAUUCGUGGUGUAGCGGUGAAAUGCUUAGAUAUCACGAAGAACUCCGAUUGCGAAGGCAGCUCACUGGAGUGUAACUGACGCUGAUGCUCGAAAGUGUGGGUAUCAAACAGGAUUAGAUACCCUGGUAGCCCACACAGUAAACGAUGAAUACUCGCUGUUUGCGAUAUACAGUAAGCGGCCAAGCGAAAGCAUUAAGUAUUCCACCUGGGGAGUACGCCGGCAACGGUGAAACUCAAAGGAAUUGACGGGGGCCCGCACAAGCGG
This 890-nucleotide ribosomal RNA is filed under the name uncultured bacterium. Its description in RNAcentral is "bacterial SSU rRNA". It matches the Rfam family "Bacterial small subunit ribosomal RNA", at positions 51 to 932 of the family's 1533-position model. The record is from RNAcentral.